UAAUAUAUUAUCCCAAAACCUGAAAACUCAUGGGAAAACAAGCUGAAGGAAAUGUAGUACAAUUCUCUAACUCCAGAAUAUCUAAAACAACAGUAAGAGAGGAAGGCUAACUGCUAAAAGAUAGAAUAAGAUAGAGACUCAUUGGUCUACUAGCGCGGAAGAUAUGCCUCAAAGUCCCUGCUAGAUAUCUCCGCCUCAAGGGUGAUAUGCCUGGGUAGAGG
RNAcentral lists this long non-coding RNA (221 nucleotides) under Nicotiana benthamiana. RNAcentral describes it as "long non-coding RNA (NBEN_LNC010193)". Lineage: Eukaryota; Viridiplantae; Streptophyta; Magnoliopsida; Solanales; Solanaceae. The record is from RNAcentral.